This 160-nucleotide unclassified non-coding RNA is filed under the name uncultured Leotiomycetes. Its description in RNAcentral is "sequence contains ITS1". The record is from RNAcentral. Lineage: Eukaryota; Fungi; Ascomycota; Leotiomycetes.
CAGAGAACUUGCCCUUCGGGGUAGAUCUCCCACCCUUUGUUUACAAUACCAUUGUUGCUUUGGCAGGCCCGUCUUCGGACCACCGGCACCUUCUGGUCAGUGCCUGUCAAAGGACCCCAAACUCUUUAUAAUUUAUUGUCUGAGUACUAUAUAAUAGUUA